AUGGAGCCAAUUGGCGACGGCGCCACGGCCGUCGUGCGCCGCGCCCGGUGCCUCCCGCUCGGGGGCGAGGUCGUCGCCGUCAAGAUUAUGAACCUCUCCCUCCGCUCCGAAGCUGACGUCAAUAACGCCUCCGAAGAGGUCAAGACCAUGAUCCUGACGGAUCACCCCAACCUCCUCAGCGCCUAUUGCUCCUUCACCCAAGACGAGAACCUGUGGAUCGUCAUGCCCUACAUGGCCGGGGGCUCCUGCUUCCACCUCAUGAAAUCCUCCUUCCCCAAAGGGUUCGAGGAGGAGAGGUUCAUAGCCUUCGUGCUCCGCGAGACGCUGAGGGGCCUCGAGUACCUGCACGGCAAAGGCCACAUACACCGGGAUGUCAAGGCUGGAAACAUAUUGCUUGAUCAGCACAAAGGAGUCAAGCUUGCGGAUUUCGGAAUUAGCGCCAGCGUCUACGACUCGAUGAUCAACAGGAACGGCAAAAGGCACACGCUUGUCGGCACACCUUGCUGGAUGGCACCUGAAGUGAUGGAGCAAAAGGAAUACGACUUCAAGGCAGACAUUUGGUCUUUCGGAAUAACUGCACUAGAACUAGCUAAUGGCCACGCUCCUUUCUCUAGCCAACCUCCAGCAAAGGUCUUUCUGAUGACGUUACAACAUGCUCCUCCAUCUCUUCAUAACACAAAGGACAAGAAGUUUUCAAAUUCAUUUAAGCGAAUGAUUGGUGCAUGUUUGAUAAAAGAUCCAUCCAAGAGGCCAACUGCGCAAAUGUUACUGCAACUUCCGUUCUUCAAAAAAGUGAAGUCUGAGGACAAUCACGUAAGAUGCAUGCUAAAUAAAGUGCCAUCUUUGGUUGCUAGGGUGCAAACUAUAAAGGAGAAUGAAGCAAAGUUGCAAGCAGAGAAGAAACCACACGAUAAAAUCAAAGAGAAGACAUCACAUGACGAAUAUUGGAGAGGUAUUAGUCAGUGGCACUUUGAUAUCGAGGACUUAAAAGCACAGGCUAAGUUGUACUCGGAAGAGAAUGAUAGUGACGAAGAGGAGUACCUGCGUUUCCUAUUUGAACUUGAUACCGUGGAUGAAAUUGUUCCGCUUCAAGAUGUGCGUCCACAAAAUCAUGCUAGUGAUGAUAAGAAGAUUGUAGGUACUGAAAUAGUAGAAACACCAAGCUCAACAACUCCAAUACUGAUACCUCAAAGUGGGAAACAACUUGAGAAUGGACCCCCUAAUGGCCUUGCGCGCCAUGAGUCAUUUGAACGACAUUCGAAAGUACCUACCAAGCAACUUUCCAGAGCAGUUUCCAAUGUUACGUGUAUGGAUGAACAUAUAGAAAAAACGGCCAUUCAAAAGGGUCGUUUUAAAGUAACAACGGAAGAAACGGAAGCAUCUACACACAGGGAGAAGGAACUACUCGAACGUAUUGCAUGUUUAGAGAGGAUGCUCCAGGUUACCCAAGAUGAGGUUGUGAGGCUUAAAGAAAAGGAGGCAAAAGGAGCAGUGCCAUGCGUCCAACAAAAUAAAGUACAUGGGCUAUAG
Molecule: ribosomal RNA, 1530 nt
Filed under: Triticum aestivum (bread wheat)
Lineage: Eukaryota; Viridiplantae; Streptophyta; Magnoliopsida; Poales; Poaceae
Description: partial small subunit ribosomal RNA
Source: RNAcentral